UGGGGGAUAUUGCACAAUGGGCGAAAGCCUGAUGCAGCGACGCCGCGUGGGGGAUGAAGGCCUUCGGGUUGUAAACUUCUUUUGCUCUGAACAAGGCAUGCCUUUGGGGUGUGUUGAGUGUAGGGGUUGAUUAGCGCCGGCUAACUACGUGCCAGCAGCCGCGGUAAUACGUAGGGCGCGAGCGUUGUCCGGAAUUAUUGGGCGUAAAGGGCUUGUAGGUGGCUGGUUGCGUCUGUCGUGAAAGCUCAUGGCUUAACUGUGGGUUUGCGGUGGGUACGGGCUGGCUUGAGUGCAGUAGGGGAGGCUGUAAUUCCUGGUGUAGCGGUGGAAUGCGCAGAUAUCAGGAGGAAUACCGGUGGCGAAGGCGGGUCUCUGGGCUGUUACUGACGCUGAGGAGCGAAAGCGUGGGGAGCGAACAGG
RNAcentral lists this ribosomal RNA (420 nucleotides) under Fusobacteriota bacterium. RNAcentral's name for it is "Fusobacteria bacterium partial 16S ribosomal RNA". It matches the Rfam family "Bacterial small subunit ribosomal RNA", at positions 355 to 776 of the family's 1533-position model. The record is from RNAcentral. Lineage: Bacteria; Fusobacteriati; Fusobacteriota.